CUUACAUCCAAAUUAGCAAAAGCAGAUGCUAUUUCUCCAAAUAUUGAAGAAGACCCGUUUAAAGGUGUCUGCUGGAAACAUUGUCAUCACUUAGGGUUAACAGCAAGCAAAUGGAAUAAAGUGGAAUCCUUGCAAAAGUAACCACAAAUAAGACAACCAUGGGGGGAGAGGUGGGUUUCAGCUUUCCUGGUUGCCUGCCAUAGAGGUUUGCUCAUAUGUGAUUGAUUGCUCUGGUGAGUAAUACCAGUUGGCAGACAUUAGUAACACUUUGUCUUACUUUUGGUACAGUUGUUAGC
Molecule: long non-coding RNA, 296 nt
Filed under: Vulpes vulpes (red fox)
Lineage: Eukaryota; Metazoa; Chordata; Mammalia; Carnivora; Canidae
Description: lncRNA (ENSVVUG00000013963.1)
Source: RNAcentral